RNAcentral lists this ribosomal RNA (498 nucleotides) under uncultured bacterium. RNAcentral's name for it is "partial 16S ribosomal RNA". It matches the Rfam family "Bacterial small subunit ribosomal RNA", at positions 30 to 523 of the family's 1533-position model. The record is from RNAcentral.
AUUGUACGCUGGCGGCAUGCUUUACACAUGCAAGUCGAACGGUAACAGGCCGCAAGGUGCUGACGGGUGGCGAACGGGUGAGUAAUGCAUCGGAACGUGCCCAGUCGUGGGGGAUAACGCAGCGAAAGCUGUGCUAAUACCGCAUACGAUCUAUGGAUGAAAGCGGGGGACCGUAAGGCCUCGCGCGAUUGGAGCGGCCGAUGUCAGAUUAGGUAGUUGGUGGGGUAAAGGCUCACCAAGCCGACGAUCUGUAGCUGGUCUGAGAGGACGACCGGCCACACUGGGACUGAGACACGGCCCAGACUCCUACGGGAGGCAGCAGUGGGGAAUUUUGGACAAUGGGCGCAAGCCUGAUCCAGCAAUGCCGCGUGCAGGAAGAAGGCCUUCGGGUUGUAAACUGCUUUUGUACGGAACGAAAAGGCUCUGGUUAAUACCUGGGGCUCAUGACGGUACCGUAAGAAUAAGCACCGGCUAACUACGUGCCAGCCGCCGCAGUAA